RNAcentral lists this ribosomal RNA (253 nucleotides) under uncultured bacterium. Its description in RNAcentral is "partial 16S ribosomal RNA". It matches the Rfam family "Bacterial small subunit ribosomal RNA", at positions 524 to 776 of the family's 1533-position model. The record is from RNAcentral.
UACGUAGGGUGCGAGCGUUGUCCGGAAUUAUUGGGCGUAAAGGGCUCGUAGGCGGUUUGUCGCGUCGGGAGUGAAAACUCGGAGCUUAACUCCGAGCCUGCUUCCGAUACGGGCAGACUAGAGGUAUGCAGGGGAGAACGGAAUUCCUGGUGUAGCGGUGAAAUGCGCAGAUAUCAGGAGGAACACCGGUGGCGAAGGCGGUUCUCUGGGCAUUACCUGACGCUGAGGAGCGAAAGUGUGGGGAGCGAACAGG